Molecule: ribosomal RNA, 252 nt
Filed under: uncultured Ruminococcus sp.
Lineage: Bacteria; Bacillati; Bacillota; Clostridia; Eubacteriales; Oscillospiraceae
Description: partial 16S ribosomal RNA
Rfam family: Bacterial small subunit ribosomal RNA
Source: RNAcentral
UACGGAGGAUGCGAGCGUUAUCCGGAUUUAUUGGGUUUAAAGGGUGCGUAGGCGGCGAGUUAAGUCAGCGGUAAAAGCCCGGGGCUCAACCCCGGCCCGCCGUUGAAACUGCUAAGCUUGAGUGGAGUAGAGGUAGGCGGAAUUCCCGGUGUAGCGGUGAAAUGCGUAGAGAUCGGGAGGAACACCAGUGGCGAAGGCGGCCUACUGGGCUCUAACUGACGCUGAGGCACGAAAGCGUGGGUAGCAAACAGG